CAGUCGCCGCGGUAAUACGUAGGGUGCGAGCGUUAAUCGGAAUUACUGGGCGUAAAGCGUGCGCAGGCGGUUCGUUAAGACAGAUGUGAAAUCCCCGGGCUUAACCUGGGAACUGCAUUUGUGACUGGCGAGCUAGAGUAUGGCAGAGGGGGGUAGAGUUCCACGUGUAGCAGUGAAAUGCGUAGAGAUGUGGAGGAAUACCGAUGGCGAAGGCAGCCCCCUGGGCCAAUACUGACGCUCAUGCACGAAAGCGUGGGGAGCAAACAGGAUUAGAGACCCGCGUAGUCCCUGUCUCUUAUAC
This 301-nucleotide ribosomal RNA is filed under the name uncultured bacterium. Its description in RNAcentral is "partial 16S ribosomal RNA". It matches the Rfam family "Bacterial small subunit ribosomal RNA", at positions 509 to 807 of the family's 1533-position model. The record is from RNAcentral.